GGACAACGAUGGCUCAGUUGGUUAGAGCGUCGUGCUAAUAACGCGAAGGUCGCAGGUUCGAGACCUGCAUGGGCCA
Non-coding RNA from Sesamum indicum (sesame), 76 nucleotides. Lineage: Eukaryota; Viridiplantae; Streptophyta; Magnoliopsida; Lamiales; Pedaliaceae. The record is from the annotation of a RefSeq genome assembly.